UACGGGAGGCAGCAGUGGGGAAUAUUGCACAAUGGGCGAAAGCCUGAUGCAGCUAUGCCGCGUGUAUGAAGAAGGCCUUAGGGUUGUAAAGUACUUUCAUCGGGGAGGAAAAAACAAAACUAAUAAUUUUAUUUCUUGACGUUACCCGAAAAAGAAGCACCGGCUAACUCCGUGCCAGCAGCCGCGGUAAUACGGAGGGUGCUAGCGUUAAUCAGAAUUACUGGGUGUAAAGAGCACGUAGGUGGUUUUUUUAAAGUCAGAUGUGAAUCCCUGGGCUUAACCUAGGAACUGCAUUUUGAAACUGAAAUACUAGAGUAUCGUAGAGGGAGGUAGAAUUCUAGGUGUAGCGGUGAAAUGCGUAGAUAUCUGGAGGAAUACCUGUGGCGAAAGCGGCCUCCUAAACGAAUACUGACACUGAGGUGCGAAAGCGUGGGGAGCAAACAGGGAUUAGAUACCCGU
RNAcentral lists this ribosomal RNA (459 nucleotides) under uncultured bacterium. Its description in RNAcentral is "bacterial SSU rRNA". It matches the Rfam family "Bacterial small subunit ribosomal RNA", at positions 340 to 789 of the family's 1533-position model. The record is from RNAcentral.